This is a non-coding RNA of Trichonephila inaurata madagascariensis, 72 nucleotides long. NCBI's taxonomy places the organism in Eukaryota, Metazoa, Arthropoda, Arachnida, Araneae, Nephilidae. The record is from the annotation of a GenBank genome assembly.
GACUCGGAGGCGCAACCGUAGCGCGUCUGAUUCCAGUUCAGAAGGUUGAGUGUUCGAAUCAUGCCCGGGUCA